MicroRNA precursor from Equus caballus (horse), 111 nucleotides. NCBI's taxonomy places the organism in Eukaryota, Metazoa, Chordata, Mammalia, Perissodactyla, Equidae. The record is from Ensembl.
CGAGUGACAGGCUUUCCUUGAGGUGCUGGCGGCCGGGGGAGGGGGAGUUGCCCGUGGAGACUCGCUCACUCUGGCCCCCCGGCCGCCAGGGCACGGUCAUCGUGGAGCGCU